CAAGUCGAACGCGAAAGUCCCGCAAGGGAUGAGUAGAGUGGCAAACGGGUGAGUAACACGUGGGUGACCUGCCUUCGAGCGGGGGAUAACGACCCGAAAGGGUCGCUAAUACCGCAUAACAUCCUGCCCUUGAACGGGUGGAGAUCAAAGCUGGGGAUCGCAAGACCUAGCACUCGGAGAGGGGCCCGCGCCUGAUUAGCUAGUUGGUGGGGUAAUGGCUCACCAAGGCUACGAUCAGUAUCCGGCCUGAGAGGGCGGACGGACACACUGGGACUGAGACACGGCCCAGACUCCUACGGGAGGCAGCAGUGGGGAAUUGUUCGCAAUGGGCGCAAGCCUGACGACGCAACGCCGCGUGGAGGAUGAAGAUCUUCGGGUCGUAAACUCCUUUCGAUCGAGACGAAUUCCCCUGGGGUGAACAAUCCCGGGGGUUGACGGUACCGAGAGAAGAAGCCCCGGCUAACUCCGUGCCAGCAGCCGCGGUAAUACGGGGGGGGCAAGCGUUGUUCGGAAUUACUGGGCGUAAAGGGCUUGUAGGUGGCCAACUAAGUCAGACGUGAAAUCCCUCGGCUUAACCGGGGAACUGCGUCUGAUACUGGAUGGCUCGAGUUUGGGAGAGGGAUGCGGAAUUCCAGGUGUAGCGGUGAAAUGCGUAGAUAUCUGGAGGAACACCGGUGGCGAAGGCGGCAUCCUGGACCAACACUGACACUGAAAAGCGAAAGCCAGGGGAGCAAACGGGAUUAGAUACCCCGGUAGUCCUGGCCCUAAACGAUGAAUGCUUGGUGUGGCGGGUAUCGAUCCCUGCCGUGCC
RNAcentral lists this ribosomal RNA (811 nucleotides) under uncultured Pseudomonadota bacterium. RNAcentral's name for it is "bacterial SSU rRNA". It matches the Rfam family "Bacterial small subunit ribosomal RNA", at positions 58 to 847 of the family's 1533-position model. The record is from RNAcentral. Lineage: Bacteria; Pseudomonadati; Pseudomonadota.